GUGCUUACUUCAGCAGCACAUAUAUUAAAACUAGAGUGCUAUAGAGAUUAGAAUGGUCCUUAUGUAAAAAUGAUAUGUAAAUUUGUGAUGCAGUCCAUAUUUUU
This is a small nuclear RNA of Mus caroli (Ryukyu mouse), 104 nucleotides long. Lineage: Eukaryota; Metazoa; Chordata; Mammalia; Rodentia; Muridae. The record is from RefSeq and is a predicted model, not a curated record.